Molecule: long non-coding RNA, 229 nt
Filed under: Elaeis guineensis (African oil palm)
Lineage: Eukaryota; Viridiplantae; Streptophyta; Magnoliopsida; Arecales; Arecaceae
Description: long non-coding RNA (EGUI_LNC057288)
Source: RNAcentral
GCUGGGCGUAUGUGCGGCUACGAUCAGAACUUGGGACAUUCGCAGGAUCCGAGGUAUGGAGAUCCGAUCUUUGUUUAAUUUUUCUAACAAUUUUUUUUUUUUUUAGAUUUUAGAUCAUGGUUGAAUAUUCGUAUCAAGAUUCAUGCUAUAAUUUUCAGAUCUAAUCUAAUACAUAAAUAAACUAAAAAUAUUUUAAUUUAUUUAUUUCUACUGCAUCAUGUCUAGAAAA